This 505-nucleotide ribosomal RNA is filed under the name uncultured bacterium. RNAcentral's name for it is "partial 16S ribosomal RNA". It matches the Rfam family "Bacterial small subunit ribosomal RNA", at positions 28 to 507 of the family's 1533-position model. The record is from RNAcentral.
GACGAACGCUGGCGGCGUGCCUAAUACAUGCAAGUCGAACGCACAGUUUAUACCGUAGCUUGCUACACCAUACACUGUGAGUUGCGAACGGGUGAGUAACGCGUAGGUAACCUGCCUGGUAGCGGGGGAUAACUAUUGGAAACGAUAGCUAAUACCGCAUAAUAUUGAUUAUUGCAUGAUAAUUGAUUGAAAGCUGCUAUUGCAUCACUACCAGAUGGACCUGCGUUGUAUUAGCUAGUAGGUGAGGUAACGGCUCACCUAGGCGACGAUACAUAGCCGACCUGAGAGGGUGAUCGGCCACACUGGGACUGAGACACGGCCCAGACUCCUACGGGAGGCAGCAGUAGGGAAUCUUCGGCAAUGGACGAAAGUCUGACCGAGCAACGCCGCGGGAGUGAAGAAGGGUGUCGGAUCGUAAAGCUCUGUUGUAAGAGAAGAACGGGUGUGAGAGUGGAAAGUUCACACUGUGACGGUAGCUGACCAGAAAGGGACGGCUAACUACGUG